RNAcentral lists this ribosomal RNA (498 nucleotides) under uncultured bacterium. RNAcentral describes it as "partial 16S ribosomal RNA". It matches the Rfam family "Bacterial small subunit ribosomal RNA", at positions 28 to 508 of the family's 1533-position model. The record is from RNAcentral.
GAUGAACGCUGGCGGCGUGCCUAAUACAUGCAAGUCGAGCGAACAGACGAGGAGCUUGCUCCUCUGACGUUAGCGGCGGACGGGUGAGUAACACGUGGAUAACCUACCUAUAAGACUGGGAUAACUUCGGGAAACCGGAGCUAAUACCGGAUAAUAUAUUGAACCGCAUGGUUCAAUAGUGAAAGACGGUUUUGCUGUCACUUAUAGAUGGAUCCGCGCCGCAUUAGCUAGUUGGUAAGGUAACGGCUUACCAAGGCAACGAUGCGUAGCCGACCUGAGAGGGUGAUCGGCCACACUGGAACUGAGACACGGUCCAGACUCCUACGGGAGGCAGCAGUAGGGAAUCUUCCGCAAUGGGCGAAAGCCUGACGGAGCAACGCGGCGUGAGUGAUGAAGGUCUUCGGAUCGUAGAACUCUGUUAUUAGGGAAGAACAAAUGUGUAAGUAACUAUGCACGUCUUGACGGUACCUAAUCAGAAAGCCACGGCUAACUACGUGC